GAUGAACGCUGGCGGCGUGCCUAAUACAUGCAAGUCGAGCGAACGGACGAUAAGCUUGCUUCUCUGAUGUUAGCGGCGGACGGGUGAGUAACACGUGGAUAACCUACCUCUAUGACUGGGGUAACUUCGGGAAACCGGUGCUAAUACCGGCUAAUAUUUUGAACCGCAUGGUUCAAAAGUGAAAGACGGUCUUGCUGUCACUUAUAGAUGGAUCCGCGCUGCAUUAGCUAGUUGGUAAGGUAACGGCUUACCAAGGCAACGAUGCAUAGCCGACCUGAGAGGAUGAUCGGCCACACUGGAACUGAGACACGGUCCAGACUCCUACGGGAGGCAGCAGUGGGGAAUAUUGGGCAAUGGGCGCAAGCCUGAUGGAGCAACACCGCGUGAGUGAUGAAGGUCUUCGGAUCGUAAAACUCUGUUAUUAGGGAAGAAAAUAUGUGUGAGUAACUGUGGACGUUCUGACGGUACCUAAACAGAAAGCACCGGCUAACUACGUG
This 497-nucleotide ribosomal RNA is filed under the name uncultured bacterium. RNAcentral's name for it is "partial 16S ribosomal RNA". It matches the Rfam family "Bacterial small subunit ribosomal RNA", at positions 28 to 507 of the family's 1533-position model. The record is from RNAcentral.